RNAcentral lists this ribosomal RNA (465 nucleotides) under uncultured bacterium. Its description in RNAcentral is "partial 16S ribosomal RNA". It matches the Rfam family "Bacterial small subunit ribosomal RNA", at positions 28 to 507 of the family's 1533-position model. The record is from RNAcentral.
GACGAACGCUGGCGGCGUGCUUAACACAUGCAAGUCGUACGGUCAGGCCCUUUCGGGGGUACACGAGUGGCGAACGGGUGAGUAACACGUGCGUAACCUGCCCACAACUUUGGGAUAACGAUAGGUAACUGGUGCUAAUACUGGAUAUGUGCUCCUGCUGCAUGGUGGGGGUUGGAAAGCUCCGGCGGUUGUGGCUGUAAUCGCGGCCUAUCAGCUUGUUGGUGGGGUAGUGGCCUACCAAGGCGGCGACGGGUAGCCGGCCUGCGAGGGUGACCGGCGACAGUGGGACUGAGAUACGGCCCAGGCUCCGACGGGAGGGAGCAGUGGGGAAGAUUGAACAAGGGGCGCAAGCCUGAUGCAGCAACGCCGCGGGCGGGAUGACGGCCUUCGGGUUGGAAACCGCAUUCAGCAGGGACGAAGCAUUUUGUGACGGUACCUGCAGAAGAAGCACCGGCUAACUACGUG